UGGGGAAUAUUGGACAAUGGGGGCAACCCUGAUCCAGCCAUGCCGCGUGUGUGAAGAAGGCCUUUUGGUUGUAAAGCACUUUAAGCAGGGAGGAGAGGCUAAUGGUUAAUACCCAUUAGAUUAGACGUUACCUGCAGAAUAAGCACCGGCUAACUCUGUGCCAGCAGCCGCGGUAAUACAGAGGGUGCGAGCGUUAAUCGGAAUUACUGGGCGUAAAGCGAGUGUAGGUGGCUCAUUAAGUCACAUGUGAAAUCCCCGGGCUUAACCUGGGAACUGCAUGUGAUACUGGUGGUGCUAGAAUAUGUGAGAGGGAAGUAGAAUUCCCAGGUGUAGCGGUGAAAUGCGUAGAGAUCUGGAGGAAUACCGAUGGCGAAGGCAGCUUCCUGGCAUAAUAUUGACACUGAGAUUCGAAAGCGUGGGUAGCAAACAGGAUUAGAUACCCUGGUAGUCCACGCCGUAAACGAUGUCUACUAGCCGUUGGGGUCCUUGAGACUUUAGUGGCGCAGUUAACGCGAUAAGC
RNAcentral lists this ribosomal RNA (520 nucleotides) under uncultured bacterium. Its description in RNAcentral is "partial 16S ribosomal RNA". It matches the Rfam family "Bacterial small subunit ribosomal RNA", at positions 355 to 865 of the family's 1533-position model. The record is from RNAcentral.